Molecule: ribosomal RNA, 1300 nt
Filed under: Staphylococcus aureus
Lineage: Bacteria; Bacillati; Bacillota; Bacilli; Caryophanales; Staphylococcaceae
Description: bacterial SSU rRNA
Rfam family: Bacterial small subunit ribosomal RNA
Source: RNAcentral
UGGCGGCGUGCCUAUACAUGCAAGUCGAGCGAACGGACGAGAAGCUUGCUUCUCUGAUGUUAGCGGCGGACGGGUGAGUAACACGUGGAUAACCUACCUAUAAGACUGGGAUAACUUCGGGAAACCGGAGCUAAUACCGGAUAAUAUUUUGAACCGCAUGGUUCAAAAGUGAAAGACGGUCUUGCUGUCACUUAUAGAUGGAUCCGCGCUGCAUUAGCUAGUUGGUAAGGUAACGGCUUACCAAGGCAACGAUGCAUAGCCGACCUGAGAGGGUGAUCGGCCACACUGGAACUGAGACACGGUCCAGACUCCUACGGGAGGCAGCAGUAGGGAAUCUUCCGCAAUGGGCGAAAGCCUGACGGAGCAACGCCGCGUGAGUGAUGAAGGUCUUCGGAUCGUAAAACUCUGUUAUUAGGGAAGAACAUAUGUGUAAGUAACUGUGCACAUCUUGACGGUACCUAAUCAGAAAGCCACGGCUAACUACGUGCCAGCAGCCGCGGUAAUACGUAGGUGGCAAGCGUUAUCCGGAAUUAUUGGGCGUAAAGCGCGCGUAGGCGGUUUUUUAAGUCUGAUGUGAAAGCCCACGGCUCAACCGUGGAGGGUCAUUGGAAACUGGAAAACUUGAGUGCAGAAGAGGAAAGUGGAAUUCCAUGUGUAGCGGUGAAAUGCGCAGAGAUAUGGAGGAACACCAGUGGCGAAGGCGACUUUCUGGUCUGUAACUGACGCUGAUGUGCGAAAGCGUGGGGAUCAAACAGGAUUAGAUACCCUGGUAGUCCACGCCGUAAACGAUGAGUGCUAAGUGUUAGGGGGUUUCCGCCCCUUAGUGCUGCAGCUAACGCAUUAAGCACUCCGCCUGGGGAGUACGACCGCAAGGUUGAAACUCAAAGGAAUUGACGGGGACCCGCACAAGCGGUGGAGCAUGUGGUUUAAUUCGAAGCAACGCGAAGAACCUUACCAAAUCUUGACAUCCUUUGACAACUCUAGAGAUAGAGCCUUCCCCUUCGGGGGACAAAGUGACAGGUGGNGCAUGGUUGUCGUCAGCUCGUGUCGUGAGAUGUUGGGUUAAGUCCCGCAACGAGCGCAACCCUUAAGCUUAGUUGCCAUCAUUAAGUNGGNCACUCUAAGUUGACUGCCGGNGACAAACCGGAGGAAGGUGGGGAUGACGUCAAAUCAUCAUGCCCCUUAUGAUUGGGGCUACACACGUGNUACAANGGACAAUACAAAGGGCAGNGAAACCGNGAGGUCAAGCAAAUCCCAUAAAGUUGUUCUCAGUUCGGAUUGUAGUNGCAACUNGACUACA